UACGUAGGGGGCAAGCGUUGUCCGGAUUUAUUGGGCGUAAAGAGCGUGUAGGCGGCCAGACAGGUCCGUUGUGAAAACUCGAGGCUCAACCUCGAGAUGUCGAUGGAAACCGUCUGGCUAGAGUCCGGAAGAGGAGUGUGGAAUUCCUGGUGUAGCGGUGAAAUGCGCAGAUAUCAGGAAGAACACCUAUGGCGAAGGCAGCACUCUGGGACGGUGCUGACGCUGAGACACGAAAGCGUGGGGAGCGAACAGG
This 253-nucleotide ribosomal RNA is filed under the name uncultured bacterium. RNAcentral describes it as "partial 16S ribosomal RNA". It matches the Rfam family "Bacterial small subunit ribosomal RNA", at positions 524 to 776 of the family's 1533-position model. The record is from RNAcentral.